Molecule: ribosomal RNA, 553 nt
Filed under: Phylloscirtus virgilatus
Lineage: Eukaryota; Metazoa; Arthropoda; Insecta; Orthoptera; Trigonidiidae
Description: SSU rRNA
Rfam family: Eukaryotic small subunit ribosomal RNA
Source: RNAcentral
UGAUAUGCUUGUCUUAAAGAUUAAGCCAUGCAUGCCUCAGUACAAACUGUUGUAGAGUGAAACCGCGAAUGGCUCAUUAAAUCGGUUAUGGUUCCUUGGACCUAAAAUUUUACUUGGAUAACUGUGGUAAUUCUAGAGCUAAUACAUGCAUUUCAGUCGUGACCCGAAAGGGAAAGGACGCUUUUAUUAGAUCAAAACCAAUCGGCCGGCUCGCCCGGUCGUUCCGUUUUGGUGACUCUGGAUAACCUUGGGCUGAUCGCACGGUCUCCGCACCGGCGACGUGUCCUUCAAAUGUCUGCCUUAUCAACUGACGAUGGUAGGUUUUGCGCCUACCAUGGUUGUAACGGGUGACGGGGAAUCAGGGUUCGAUUCCGGAGAGGGAGCCUGAGAAACGGCUACCACAUCCAAGGAAGGCAGCAGGCGCGCAAAUUACCCACUCCCGGCACGGGGAGGUAGUGACGAAAAAUAACGAUACGGGACUCAUCCGAGGCCCCGUAAUCGGAAUGAGAACAUUUUAAAUCUCUUAACGAUUACCCAUUAGAGGGCCAGUCUG